GAAAGCCGUAUGAGGGAAAACCUCACGUACGGUUUGAUGAGGGGCGGGUGAAAUUUCACCCGCCUACUCUAU
Molecule: non-coding RNA, 72 nt
Filed under: Lachnotalea glycerini
Lineage: Bacteria; Bacillati; Bacillota; Clostridia; Lachnospirales; Lachnospiraceae
Source: RNAcentral